Molecule: ribosomal RNA, 449 nt
Filed under: uncultured bacterium
Lineage: Bacteria
Description: partial 16S ribosomal RNA
Rfam family: Bacterial small subunit ribosomal RNA
Source: RNAcentral
GACGAACGCUGGCGGCGUGCUUAACACAUGCAAGUCGAACGAGAUCUUCGGAUCUAGUGGCAGACGGGUGAGGAACACGUGGGAACAUCCCUUUCAGUUCGGAAUAACGUUGGGAAACUAACGCUAAUACCGGAUACGUCCUUCGGGAGAAAGAUUUAUCGCUGAAAGAUUGGCCCGCGUCUGAUUAGCUAGUUGGUGAGGUAACGGCUCACCAAGACUACGAUCAGUAGCUGAUCUGAGAGGAUGAUCAGCCACAUUGGGACUGAGACACGGCCCAAACUCCUACGGGAGGCAGCAGUGGGGAAUAUUGGACAAUGGGCGCAAGCCUGAUCCAGCCAUGCCGCGUGAGUGAUGACGGCCUUCGGGUUGUAAAGCUCUUUUGUCCGGGAAGAUAAUGACUGUACCGGAAGAAUAAGCCCCGGCAAACUUCGUGCCAGCCGCCGCGGUAA